GAUGAACGCUAGCGGCAGGCUUAACACAUGCAAGUCGAGGGGUAUAGUAGCAAUACUAGAGACCGGCGCACGGGUGCGUAACGCGUAUGCAAUCUACCUUUUACAGAGGGAUAGCCCAGAGAAAUUUGGAUUAAUACCUCAUAGUAUAACGACCUGGCAUCAGGAUGUUAUUAAAGUCACAACGGUAAAGAUGAGCAUGCGUCCCAUUAGCUUGUUGGUAAGGUAACGGCUUACCAAGGCUACGAUGGGUAGGGGUCCU
RNAcentral lists this ribosomal RNA (259 nucleotides) under uncultured bacterium. RNAcentral's name for it is "partial 16S ribosomal RNA". It matches the Rfam family "Bacterial small subunit ribosomal RNA", at positions 28 to 293 of the family's 1533-position model. The record is from RNAcentral.